CGCGUAGGCGGUCUUGUAAGUCCCGUGUGAAAGCCCCCGGCUCAACCGGGGAAUGGCACGGGAAACUGCGAGGCUUGAGUUCGGGAGAGGGAAGCGGAAUCCCGGGUGUAGCGGUGAAAUGCGUAGAUAUCCGGAGGAACACCAGUGGCGAAGGCGGCUUCCUGGACCGAUACUGACGCUGAGGCGCGAAAGCUAGGGGAGCAAACG
Molecule: ribosomal RNA, 207 nt
Filed under: uncultured bacterium
Lineage: Bacteria
Description: partial 16S ribosomal RNA
Rfam family: Bacterial small subunit ribosomal RNA
Source: RNAcentral